CCUACGGGUGGCAGCAGUGGGGAAUAUUGGACAAUGGGCGAAAGCCUGAUCCAGCCAUGCCGCGUGUGUGAAGAAGGCCUUCGGGUUGUAAAGCACUUUCAGUGGGGAAGAAAGCCUUGGGGCUAAUACCCUCGAGGAAGGACAUCACCCACAGAAGAAGCACCGGCUAACUCCGUGCCAGCAGCCGCGGUAAGACGGAGGGUGCGAGCGUUAAUCGGAAUUACUGGGCGUAAAGCGCGCGUAGGCGGUCUGAUAAGCCGGUUGUGAAAGCCCCGGGCUCAACCUGGGAACGGCAUCCGGAACUGUCAGGCUAGAGUGCAGGAGAGGAAGGUAGAAUUCCCGGUGUAGCGGUGAAAUGCGUAGAGAUCGGGAGGAAUACCAGUGGCGAAGGCGGCCUUCUGGACUGACACUGACGCUGAGGUGCGAAAGCGUGGGUAGCAAACAGGAUUAGAUACCCCGGUAGUC
RNAcentral lists this ribosomal RNA (465 nucleotides) under Vreelandella stevensii. RNAcentral's name for it is "partial 16S ribosomal RNA". It matches the Rfam family "Bacterial small subunit ribosomal RNA", at positions 338 to 795 of the family's 1533-position model. The record is from RNAcentral. Lineage: Bacteria; Pseudomonadati; Pseudomonadota; Gammaproteobacteria; Oceanospirillales; Halomonadaceae.